CAGCAGCCGCGGUAAUACGAAGGGUGCAAGCGUUAAUCGGAAUUACUGGGCGUAAAGCGUGCGUAGGCGGUUUGUUAAGUCUGUUGUGAAAUCCCCGGGCUCAACCUGGGAAUGGCAAUGGAUACUGGCAAGCUAGAGUGUGUCAGAGGAUGGUGGAAUUCCCGGUGUAGCGGUGAAAUGCGUAGAGAUCGGGAGGAACAUCAGUGGCGAAGGCGGCCAUCUGGGACAACACUGACGCUGAGGCACGAAAGCGUGGGGAGCAAACAGGAUUAGAUACCCCCGUAGUCCCUGUCUCUUAUAC
Molecule: ribosomal RNA, 301 nt
Filed under: uncultured bacterium
Lineage: Bacteria
Description: partial 16S ribosomal RNA
Rfam family: Bacterial small subunit ribosomal RNA
Source: RNAcentral